This 23-nucleotide non-coding RNA is filed under the name Rattus norvegicus (Norway rat). Lineage: Eukaryota; Metazoa; Chordata; Mammalia; Rodentia; Muridae. The record is from RNAcentral.
UGAAUACUGGUGGAGAAUUUAAC